CAGGUAUAGCUGCUCAUCUUAUUGUUUUUUUCUCUUCAGUGUAUUCAAGGUCAGUCAAAUGAGCUGUUUAAAUACCUAAUGUUCCACAAGCUAACACCAACAGAUGAUAAUGAAGAUAACAAUAAAAUCCAGUAAUGUGAAGGAAGAAUUUUUAAGUAAACAUAACCAUGAAAAUACUUGUAUUAUUAUAUUUGUUCUUGUUCCAAGAGUUCACAGCAUAACUACAUUCAGUAAAGUUUCAAUAACAGAUGGAAAAUGUGUCUUCAUCCAAUGUUUCUAUGACUCCAAAUAUAUAUACUUGUACUUGUAUAAAGUUCUUGUAUGAUGGAUAUUGUUGGUAAUUUUGUCUAAUCAGAAAUGUAGUGCAUUUAUUACGUGUAUGUAGUUGAGAUCAAUGGAAGGUCAGAUGACAUGAAGUAUUGUUAUAUAUGUGGCACCAGGUGUAUCAUAAGUAUAUUUCAGUAUAUUUUACAUAGACUAUUAUUGUUGAUGAUUUUUUAUUUUACUUUUUUUUUUUUUUUUACAUUUGUUCAGAGUAAGAAUGUUGUAGAGCUGAGACAGUUACACAAACCAGAUUUUUAUUUGAUCUUAUUUUAUUUUUGCUCUAAGUUGUUUUCUUUAAUUAAUGUUUUUGUUGUUUUCUCUUUUUUGUUUUUUUCUAUGAUUAUAUUAUGAUUAUGGAUUUACCUGUUUUGGUGCAAGACUAACGGUAGGAUUUAUAGAGAGUUGUCCAUCUCUAGAAAGAAUGCACCCUCUCCCUUUAAUGAAACUAUUGGCUGUUACUGGUAAUAGGCUGCUACUAGUCCUACUGCUGGUGUGAAAGAAGGAUGCAAUAAGGCUCCAUCUUGUGGUGGGUUUGAUAUGUAGUUAGACAUUUAAUUUGAGAGAACUGAGUGACAUUACUAAUUAUGAUUGAGUGGAUCUGCUGUAUGAUUGAGUUACUGAGGGGGGUGGGCUGAAGAAUGGCUGCUCACAAGGGGAGACCCAAAUAUGAUAUCUACAUGAAGGAAUGUUCAUUUAUUUAACAUUUCUCCAUGAGCAUGGUACAUGUUACCAGCUAAUGUCACAUAUGCUACUAAAACCAUCACUAACUACUGCAAGUGAUUAUAAAUUCUACAUUAAUUCCAAAUAUCAGUAAAUUUUAAUACCUGAAGACAGAGAAGAUACUUUAUUGUCACAAGAGGUCACCACAGCAGUUGGCACCACAUGUUUGAUUUAACAGAAAUUCAUGUUGGAUUUCUUUUCUGACAUAAUCUCAAUGAAGAUUUGUGUUUUUAGAUGGAACUGAAUCAGCAACCUUUCACUUGCCACAUGAACAUACUGUAAUAUGGACCCACUCUUAGAGAGAGAGAGAUUAGAAUACAUUCGAUUACUAUACUAAUUACUGCCUUUUUUAAAUUGUAGAUACUACUCAUACUAUAUGGGAGACAGCAUAUUUAAAAAAGGGGCAACCCAGCUCGGAUAUCUUUUGUAUUUUUCUGCAUUAUUUCUUUGCAUUAUUCCAGUUCCCUGUCCAUUACUCUGUGGAC
Long non-coding RNA from Astatotilapia calliptera (eastern happy), 1529 nucleotides. Lineage: Eukaryota; Metazoa; Chordata; Actinopteri; Cichliformes; Cichlidae. The record is from Ensembl.